Molecule: ribosomal RNA, 245 nt
Filed under: uncultured bacterium
Lineage: Bacteria
Description: partial 16S ribosomal RNA
Rfam family: Bacterial small subunit ribosomal RNA
Source: RNAcentral
UACAGAGACCUCAAGCGUUAUCCGGAUUUAUUGGGCGUAAAGAGCAUGUAGGCGGAUAUAUUAGUCAGAUGUCAAAUCUUCGAGCUUAACUCGAAAACUGCAUUUGAAACGGUAUAUCUCGAGAGAGUGAGAGACUGAUGGAACAUAUGGUGUAGCAGUGAAAUGCGUUGAUAUCAUAUGGAACACCAAAGGCGAAGGCAUUCAGUUGGCACUCUUCUGACGCUGAGAUGCGAAAGCGUGGGUAG